GGGGCUGAUUUCUGGAUUCGACGGGAUUUGCGAAACCCAAGGUGCAUGCCGAGGGGCGGUUGGCCUCGUAAAAAGCCGCAAAAAAUAGUCGCAAACGACGAAAACUACGCUUUAGCAGCUUAAUAACCUGCUUAGAGCCCUCUCUCCCUAGCCUCCGCUCUUAGGACGGGGAUCAAGAGAGGUCAAACCCAAAAGAGAUCGCGUGGAAGCCCUGCCUGGGGUUGAAGCGUUAAAACUUAAUCAGGCUAGUUUGUUAGUGGCGUGUCCGUCCGCAGCUGGCAAGCGAAUGUAAAGACUGACUAAGCAUGUAGUACCGAGGAUGUAGGAAUUUCGGACGCGGGUUCAACUCCCGCCAGCUCCACCA
This 364-nucleotide transfer-messenger RNA is filed under the name Escherichia coli. It matches the Rfam family "transfer-messenger RNA". From Rfam's summary of the family: Bacterial tmRNA, also known as 10Sa RNA or SsrA, is named for its dual tRNA and mRNA-like properties. Its role is to liberate the mRNA from a stalled ribosome. The record is from RNAcentral. Lineage: Bacteria; Pseudomonadati; Pseudomonadota; Gammaproteobacteria; Enterobacterales; Enterobacteriaceae.